This 384-nucleotide ribosomal RNA is filed under the name uncultured SAB reactor bacterium band 5. RNAcentral's name for it is "bacterial SSU rRNA". It matches the Rfam family "Bacterial small subunit ribosomal RNA", at positions 94 to 494 of the family's 1533-position model. The record is from RNAcentral.
AGCGGCGGACGGGUGAGUAACGCGUAGGCAACCUGCCCCAUACAGAGGGAUAGCCUCGAGAAAUCGGGAUUAAAACCUCAUAAUGCCAUCGAGUCACAUGGCUCUUUGGCCAAAGAUUUAUCGGUAUGGGAUGGGCCUGCGUCUGAUUAGCUAGUUGGUGAGGUAACGGCUCACCAAGGCUGCGAUCAGUAGCAGAACUGAGAGGUUCAUCNGCCACAUUGGAACUGAGACACGGUCCAAACUCCUACGGGAGGCAGCAGUGAGGAAUAUUGCACAAUGGGCGAAAGCCUGAUGCAGCAACGCCGCGUGAGCGAUGAAGGCCUUUGGGUCGUAAAGCUCUGUCCUUGGGGAAGAAACAAAUGACGGUACCCUGGAGGAAGCCCC